RNAcentral lists this ribosomal RNA (207 nucleotides) under uncultured bacterium. RNAcentral's name for it is "partial 16S ribosomal RNA". It matches the Rfam family "Bacterial small subunit ribosomal RNA", at positions 568 to 774 of the family's 1533-position model. The record is from RNAcentral.
CGCGUAGACGGUUUUGUAAGUCAGAUGUGAAAUCCCUGGGCUCAACCUGGGAACUGCAUUUGAAACUGCAUGGCUAGAGUAUGGAAGAGGGAAGUGGAAUUUCCGGUGUAGCGGUGAAAUGCGUAGAUAUCGGAAGGAACACCAGUGGCGAAAGCGACUUCCUGGUCCAAUACUGACGUUCAUGUGCGAAAGCGUGGGGAGCAAACA